UGCCAGACCCUACGGGAGGCAGCAGUGGGGAAUAUUGCACAAUGGGGGAAACCCUGAUGCAGCAACGCCGCGUGAGUGAAGAAGUCAUUCGUGAUGUAAAGCUCUAUCAGCAGGGAAGAAAAUGACGGUACCUGACUAAGAAGCCCCGGCUAACUACGUGCCAGCAGCCGCGGUAAUACGUAGGGGGCAAGCGUUAUCCGGAUUUACUGGGUGUAAAGGGAGCGUAGACGGAUAAGCAAGUCUGAUGUGAAAAUCCGGGGCCCAACCCCGGAAUUGCAUUGGAAACUGCAUAUCUAGAGUGUCGGAGAGGCAAGUGGAAUUCCUGGUGUAGCGGUGAAAUGCGUAGAUAUCAGGAGGAACACCGGUGGCGAAGGCGGCCUGCUGGACUGCAACUGACGUUGAGGCCCGAAAGCGUGGGGAGCAAACAGGAUUAGAUACCCUUGUA
Molecule: ribosomal RNA, 445 nt
Filed under: uncultured bacterium
Lineage: Bacteria
Description: bacterial SSU rRNA
Rfam family: Bacterial small subunit ribosomal RNA
Source: RNAcentral